Molecule: transfer RNA, 65 nt
Filed under: Oncocephalus breviscutum
Lineage: Eukaryota; Metazoa; Arthropoda; Insecta; Hemiptera; Reduviidae
Description: tRNA-Leu
Source: RNAcentral
CUUAAUGUGGCAGAUUAGUGCAAUGAAUUUAAGCUUCAUUUAUAAAGAAACUUCUUUCAUUAAGA